Molecule: ribosomal RNA, 624 nt
Filed under: Rhodotorula diobovata
Lineage: Eukaryota; Fungi; Basidiomycota; Microbotryomycetes; Sporidiobolales; Sporidiobolaceae
Description: eukaryotic LSU rRNA
Rfam family: 5.8S ribosomal RNA (bases 194-347)
Source: RNAcentral
AUUUCCGUAGGUGAACCUGCGGAAGGAUCAUUAGUGAAUCUAGGACGUCCAACUUAACUUGGAGUCCGAACUCUCACUUUCUAACCCUGUGCAUCUGUUUUAAAAUUGGCUAGUAGCUCUUCGGAGCGAACCACCAUUUUUCACUUAUACAAACACAAAGUCUAUGAAUGUAAACAAAUUUAUAACAAAACAAAACUUUCAACAACGGAUCUCUUGGCUCUCGCAUCGAUGAAGAACGCAGCGAAAUGCGAUACGUAAUGUGAAUUGCAGAAUUCAGUGAAUCAUCGAAUCUUUGAACGCACCUUGCGCUCCUUGGUAUUCCGAGGAGCAUGCCUGUUUGAGUGUCAUGAAAUCUUCAACCCACCUCUUUCUUAGUGAAUCUGGUGGUGCUUGGUUUCUGAGCGCUGCUCUGCUUCGGCUUAGCUCGUUCGUAAUGCAUUAGCAUCCGCAACCGAAACUUCGGAUUGACUUGGCGUAAUAGACUAUUCGCUGAGGAUUCCAGACUUGUUCUGGAGCCGAGUUGGGUUAAAGGAAGCUUCUAAUCCUAAAGUCUAUUUUUUGAUUAGAUCUCAAAUCAGGUAGGACUACCCGCUGAACUUAAGCAUAUCAAUAAGCGGAGGAAAU